GUGCAGCAGGCGCGAAUUUUUCACAAUGGGGGAAACCCUGAUGGAGCGACGCCGCGUGGAGGAUGAAGGCCCUCGGGCCGUAAACUCCUGUCAUGCGGGAACAAGAAAGUGAUAGUACCGCAAGAGGAAGAGACGGCUAACUCUGUGCCAGCAGCCGCGGUAAUACAGAGGUCUCAAGCGUUAUUCGGAUUCAUUGGGCGUAAAGGGUGCGUAGGUGGCGAUGUAAGUCUGGUGUGAAAUCUCGGGGCUUAACCCCGAAACUGCAUUGGAUACUGCGUUGCUUGAGGAUUGUAGAGGAGAGUGGAAUUCACGGUGUAGCAGUGAAAUGCGUAGAUAUCGUGAGGAAGACCAGUUGCGAAGGCGACUCUCUGGGCAAUUCCUGACACUGAGGCACGAAGGCCAGGGGAGCAAACGGGAUUAGAUACCCGGGUAGU
Molecule: ribosomal RNA, 434 nt
Filed under: uncultured organism
Description: bacterial SSU rRNA
Rfam family: Bacterial small subunit ribosomal RNA
Source: RNAcentral